RNAcentral lists this ribosomal RNA (257 nucleotides) under uncultured bacterium. RNAcentral describes it as "partial 16S ribosomal RNA". It matches the Rfam family "Bacterial small subunit ribosomal RNA", at positions 524 to 776 of the family's 1533-position model. The record is from RNAcentral.
UACAGAGGAGGCAAGCGUUGUUCGGAAUCACUGGGCUUAAAGGGCGCGUAGGCGGCGCGGUAAGUGUUCUGUGAAAUCCCACGGCUCACCCGUGGAACUGCAGGGCAUACUACGUCGCUUGAGGUGCAGGUAGGGGUCGGACUGGAACUCUCGGUGAAACGGUGAAAUGUGUAGAUAUCGAGAGGAACGCCCGAGGCGAAAGCGGGUGACUGGGCCUGUCCUGACGCUGAUGCGCGAAAGCGUGGGGAGCAAACGGG